CAGAAGAAACUACACAUACCACGACGGGUAUAAUAAUACCCGACGUGGAAAGUGUGUACUUACAACGUCGACUGCAUUUACUACUGGCCGCGGCCAGUAGUGGAAAGUCUGUUUGGCCAGUAGUUGUAUCUCCUUUCUGCACUAGUGACCUCACCACAAUCAAAGCAGAGAACACACUAACAUUUUCUACUAUAAUCAAAGCUUCUACGUUAUUAAUUGUUUCUGAAAGAACUAGUUAUAGCAACAAAAUCAAGUUUGAUUAUAUAAAAGUUUAUUUCUCAUGGCUCCUGCUACGGGUAGUAUGAUCCAAAUAUCAAUACUUCAAACACCAAAUUAUGAAUCAUCUCCAAAAAAUGUGAACAGAAUAUGUGCAUAUAGAGGAAAACAACCGAUAGACAGAGUAAAAGCAGGAGGAGGAAGUGGUGCACAAAAAAACAGCUUAGGUUAUGCCACCAACAGCUUGAGUCUCAAUAGUGAUCAAAAUGAUCAAAACACAAGUCCUAGAAGUAUUUGCAACAUGGAUUAUGAUUAUGAAAUAUAAAUUUUUUAAUAAUUCUCCAUGAUUUCUCACCAACUGUAAUUAUAUAUAUGUAAUAUAGAGGUUUUGAGUAUUAAAUAGUUUAGUAAUACUUUUCUUCUUGAUGGAAUGAAAAAAAUUAUAAUUAGCUUUGUAGUUCAUCUUAUAUAUUGUCAAUGCCCUAUUUUAUUUCAAUUAAAUUUAUGUUUUUAUUUUCCUUUUUAUUUUUCUUUGGAUAAGGCCUUAAAUUUAUGUUUUUAAUUUUGGUUUAAUUGUUUUUAAAAGUGUUUGCACUCCGAAGCUCAAAUCAAUAUUUGUUCAGAGUGAGAGAAUGUAAUUGGAUAAAAAUCUGUGUACCUUGAAAAUGAAUGAACAAGUGCAUAUGUAGGAUAAUGACGUGCAUAACCGUUUGGUGGGAUCCAUCAUGUGAGUAAAAUGAGUCACAAAUAUAUUUUGCGGGGGUCAUUUAUAAGCUAUUGUUCGCGUAUUGUAAGAGUAUAUUUGAUCUGGACAUGGGUCAUUUAUGCUACUGAUGAUGUUCCAUCAAGGGUGAUAAGCCAUAAUGAAGUGUUUAACGGAUUUGAGAUCUUCUUGGGUCUUUGGAUAAGGCCUCUGGCCAGUCCGGGACAGUUGCCCUCCAUAUUUUGCUAUGGUACUAACACUGGCCUCUAAUACCGAAACUUUAGUCUUUUUUAACUUGGACACAAAGAUUAAGAAAUACUAGUAGUUAUAAACCUUUUCAGCUUAUUUGCCCCUCAUUAUUUUUUUUAUUCACAUUUGUUUAUUAAAUUUGUACUACAAGAACACGUAAUACAUUUGCAAGCUUGCUCACUUGCUUUUCCAAGAACAAUUUUUUCACCAAAUUGAGAGAAUCCACUCUCUAGUUUGUGAAGUGUAUAAAUAUGUGAGGGCAACCUCACACUUGAAGCUAACUUUUGGGGUUGAGAUCCAAGCAUAUUUAACAUGGUAUCAGAGUCUGGUUAAGGACUACAAUGUGGGCAUUUGACCCAGGACCACGUUAAGCGUGAGGGUGAGUGUUGAAUAUGUUGGUUGUUGUGUUGUCAGAGUUUGUUUGAAAUUUCAUAUUGCUUAGGUUUCCGGGAUGUGAAUGUAUAAAUAUGUGAGGGCAACCUCACCCUUGGAGCUAGCUUUUGGGGUUGAGAUCCAAGCAUAUUUAACAUAGUUCGACAACUGCAUGCAACUCUUCACAUACCUAGUUCCACGUCGUUUUAACUUUUUGUUUUUUAACAAGGGUAUAAAUUAAAAAAAUGUAUAAUUGUUUCUUGGUUUCUUAAGAGGACUAAGGUUUUCGGACAAAAUUAAAAUCUUAAAAGGAUCAAAGUUCCGGGACGAAUAGUCAGUGGCGGAGCUAGACUAAAAUGUCGGGGUGGGCCGUAGCGUAGUAUGAAUUUUUUGUUUUAGGGGCCAUUUAUAUAUGAAGAGAGAUCAAACGACACUUGUAUAAUAUUUUAUCAAUAUUACACUACUUUUUUUUACAAUAAUAAAUAUUACGUUACUUAAUAAUUUAAACGAAUACAAAUUUAACAAAAUACAUAGUUGGAUUAAAAGUUUGUAUUAUAUAGACCAUUUAAUAAAAUUUUAAAACCCAUAAAGAUUUACUAUUUCAAUAAAAUGACAUAAAUAUUUAAUCUAAGUAAGAUCAUAUAAAUAAGUUUUAACGAAAAGCAUGACGUAGGAAGUUGAACACACCACCCUUUGGUAAAAAUUACGCAACAUUACCACUAGGCUAGACAAAACAACCUAUAAUUAUCCGAACCUAAUAAUAUAUAUAUAACGAUGUAUAUAAAAAUAUGUAUAUAGUAUAACUAUAUAUAUAUAUACCUAUUAAAAAUCGAAAAUUUCGGUUCCGCCCCUGCGAAUAGUAAGGAUUUGAAUCUCAUGGAGUCAGAACUGGAGCAUAUCUUCAGAGGAAAGGAUUUGAACGAGUACAGAUGUAUUUUAGCAAACGCAUACUCAGAAACAAUGCUCACCAAUGUAACUUCAGAAGUAAUCAUAUAUGUUACACUAAAUAUAACACUUUUUGCAUUUGAAUUUUGAUUUAUCAUGUAAGAAUUUAAUUUUUCCACCAAACUCAUAUUGGUUGGUUACUAAUUAAUAAAAAUAUCUAUAAUUUUCUUUCACUUCUAUAUAGGCCUAGCUCAAGGUAGAAGCUUAGUGUAUCAAAUGGGGUAGCCAAAAAGCUAAUCUAAAAUAUAUUUUUUAUCUGAAUAAUAAGUUAGUAUAUUUUAUAAUUAGUUACUUCAAUAAAAUAUACUUUUUUUUUUUACAUAUACUUCUAUAAAAUAUACUUAACUAUUGUAAAAGUGUUUAUUUGUCCAGUGAACUCUUAAUUGGCAGGGAUUGCAUUAUAUAUGCAGAGGGUUGAGGGUUGGGGUUGGAAUCUCGGUUAUUUCAUUAAUCCACUUUAAAAGUGGAAUUUCUAGCCACUAGACUAUUUAGAAAAAAAAAUCAAAAAAUAUUCAUUUUUUAUUUGAUAGAUAUUUUUCAUCUUAUUUUAACUCUUUCCAUUUCUUAAACAACUAAAAACAAUGCUUCAUUCACAAUAAAAAUUAUCUUUAAAACAACAUUCAAAAUAUACUUUUUAAAAUUUAACCCUUAUAAGAAAAUGAUUCUCUCUUUAUUAUCCAAAAAAACAAAUUGAUGUUGAGAAAAUAAUCGAAAAAAAUCUCCACACAAUAAAUAAAACUAAACAGAAUCUUCAACAAAUAAAUAAAAACCAAACCUGCAUUAAUAUAAUACUAAAUCUGUAAUUUUUACAAUGCGAAAUUGUAAACCCUCCUCUCAUGACUCACAACUACCCUAGCCCUAAACUUUUAAGAAAAAAGUUGUUGUGGGGAAAAAAACUCAACAUAACUCUGCAUAUUUAUAAUAGCAUUCUACCGCUUUUUCCUUUCAACUACUCGAUGUGAGACCAGCAGCAGACCUAGGGGGGCUGGGGAGGGCCAUGGCCCACCUCCAAAAAAUGUGAAAUUACUUAAAUACCCUUGGGAGCUUUAUGAAAUUAAACCUAUCUACUAUAUAUAUAUUUGUUGUGGUAUAAACAAUUUAAACUUAGAGUUCAGCCUAGUGGUUUGUUACAUGAUUUUAUGGCAAGAGGUUGCGUGUUCAACUCCCUCUUCUAUUAUUUUUUGCAUUUUCUUCUUUUUCUUUAAAAAAUUCAUGUUUAAUACCCAUAAUUUGAACCCAUGGAGAGUUGGAAACCAAAACAAUUCCUCGAACCACUUAACCAAACACAUUUUUCAUAAAAUGUUAAUUUUCAUGUAUAUAUCAAUACAAAAAAUAGACAAUUUUGUUUUACUUUUAUAAAAAAAUCACAACUAUUUUCAAUUAAAAAUAAUCAUUAUCUUUUAAGCAAUAAAAUAUAUAAUUUUUUAUGAUCCAACUUGUAUAAAUAUUAAUUUAAAAUAAAUCAUUGAUAAUUUUUCAAGUUAUUUGGAACACGUAGAAUAUUAUUUAAAGCAUGAAAUUAAAUUUUUGUAUAAAAUAUAAUUUUUAUAUUUAAUUUAAAUAUUAUAAUUUUUUUGCGGCGCACCCAAGAAUUAUUUUCCAGUUCCGCAGUUGUGUGGGACUUCUUGAACGAAUAUCCACGUCACUGAACUCAAGCUACGUGAUUUAACCAACCAUGUCAACGGUCUUCCUCAUAUUUGAUAACUUUGAAAAGAGAAGGAACGUGUACAAAGUCUACAUUCCAAUUUGAUCAAUUAUAUUCUUAUGUCCCCAUGUAAAAGUGCUAAUUAAUAAUAUGUGUCACAAUCCUAAUUACAAAAGGUGAUCCAUUGGUGCUCGUAUCAGAAUAUACAACUCUUUUUUUUUAGCCGAAGAUAAUCCUGUUGAAAAAUUAUCAAAUACUAGAUGUAAAAAAAGAUUAUCCAACAACCCCAUUUGAUACUUAGUCAAAUAAAGUGCCACGACAAAAUGUUAACCACAAAAUAUAUACGAGAAUAAUAUAAGUUGUGUUUGAUAUGCUAAAAAAAUAAGAGACUUGGCAUGAGAAUUUCAAUUGUAAUUUGAUUCUAAAAUUGUCUCGCACGAAACUACAUGACAAUUUGUUUUUCUCUAUACAAGUUAUUUAAAAUACCAAACUUAACUACUUUAUCCGACAAACAUACAAAGUUCAAUAUCUUAAAUAGUUGUGUUGUGUUGUUCUGUCAUGUAUUGUUCUAUCUAAUAGUUAUUUUCGAAACUAAACUACACACUUAAAAUGCUUAAAGGACAUCUCAAAAUUUGGAGCAGAGAGGUUUUUUGUAAUCUUGAUCUUAGGAUCAAACAAAUACACUAGCAAACUCUAAGAAUGUGUUUGGAUGAGGGAAUGUUUUGAGAUAAUGCAGCGAAUUUCAUUACUUAAUGAAAUUUAAAAAUCAAAGAAAAGUGGAUUCCCUAGUAUUUAAAUUCUCUAAUCCCUCUUUGGCAAUUCAAAUAUUGAGUUUGAUUUUAUGCAAAUAUUAAUUGAGUUUCAUAUAUGCGGUAGAAACAGAGGUGUAGCAGAAGAGAUUAGAAGCAAAAUUCGGAGCAGAAGCAUAUAUUAUUUUGGAGAAAACCAGAAGCAUAUAUUAUUACAUGGUCAUCAGUUACAUAUCAUCGACAAAAGCUUCAUUAGGAAAUUUGGAAGGUAUAAAUGUAUUAAUGAUUUUUGCUUUUAUAGGAGGCCAACAUUUUUUUUUUCCUUUUACUUUUGCUUGGUCAAAGGGAGCAACAGCAUUCUAUUUUGCAUGGUUUUAUAUCCACCAAUUUGUUCGCAUGGUUUCAACAAAAAAAAAAANNNNNNNNNNNNNNNNNNNNNNNNNNNNNNNNNNNAAAACACAAGAUAAAAAGAGAUGUUGUUAAAAGUUUCAUAUCGGAUGUGAGAUGACCUGAAUACACGUUUAUAAAUAAGAGACAAUUCUUACCUUAUAAGCCGAUUUUGUACGUGAGGACCGACUGUUACUUAUAAUCAGAUAUUUAAUUAUUAUUGUGAAUACUGAUAUUUAUUUUUUUUAUGACCGUGUGAAUACUGAUAUCAAAUAUUGUAUAAAUUUUUUUGGAUCAUUGAUGACUUCGUUCUCGGCUAUCUGAAGUUCAAGAAAUACUUCUCUAGGCACAAACCCAAAUAUUUGUUGUUAGGCACACUCACAAAAUAUACAAAAGAAAAGUAAAAAAUGGUUAAAAUAAUACUCCCUCCGUCUCGAAUUAUAAGAGAAAAUAAAAAAAUCACACUUAUUAAGAAAAAAUAAAACAUAAGAAUUUGAAAUAUGUUUUUGUGAGUUUUCCUUGGAAUAAGUUGCAUAGGAAGAUGUAAAAACAAUUUUUAUUGGUUGUUGUUUAUUGAGAAAAUGGUAGAAAGAGAAAAUUAAAUGCAAUUUGCAUUUAAUUUUAUGAAAAUAAGGAAAAAAUAUUCUUGAAAAUGACUUUCUCCCUUAUAAUUUGGGACAAAAAAAAUGAGUUUUUUUCCCUUAUAAUUUGGGACGGAGGGAGUAUAUUUUAUGUGUUGGGUUUUGGGCUCCCUUCCUUCCUAUGUGGAGAAAAGUCUAAUAUUAUUGUCUCAUCAUGUCUCACUUAUAUAAGUGGAGAGUGGUCAUACUAGGGUAAUUAUGUGAGUAAAUUUUGUGAGAGAACAACCUUCAAAAAGAGAGAAAACAAUUCCCGUUUUUCUCAAAUCAGUCCCACUAAAACUCUGAUUCCCGAUUCGUUAACCUUGGAUAUCGCUCAAACUGAGGACAUGUUCGCAGCUCCAGAGGCUAUCUUUUGACCGUUCGGAUCGUCGAAACAAGGUCUGUUUCGUGAGAUAUUCUGCUCGCAAUACAGCAGGUUUUUUGGGAAAAUUUCAGUUUCUUGUUCUUAUUUUGUAAGCUUUAGUGUUUUGUUGUGUAAUUGAUUGUUACCACUUGUUUGUGUCUCACUUGGAGACUCUUUUGUACCCUUAUUUGAUUAUAGUGGAACUAUUUCUUUGGUCUGGACGACCCUGUUGAGGCAAAAUCCACCUUUGAUGUUUUAAAGAUUACAAACAUCUUUAAUUAUAUUUUAAAUGAUUCUGAUCAUUUUGUUAUCUAACAAGUGCUUUUGAGUGGCAUAAUAAGAUUAAAUAGAUUCUAACAAACCACUUGCAAAGUAAAAAUCCUGCAAAGCUGUUUCAAGAUCAUUCUGAGAACAUUCUUAGCAGACAGACUGCAGUUUUGCCUAUAAGCACGUUUUGGAAAUAAGUGCUUUCUGGUUUUUCAAGUCAACUAAGAAUAAAACAAAUAAGCACUUUACNNNNNNNNNNNNNNNNNNNNNNNNNNNNNNNNAAGCAUAUGCUUUCCUAGUCAUGUGAUGAAUCAUAAGCAUUGAUCUCUCAUGAUCUUUUAUGGUAUUGAUCAUCCAAUGAAAACACCUGAUCAAAUAUCCUAGACCAAUCAGAAUAUUUAACUCUUUUUUUUAGCCGAAGAUAAUCCUGUUGAAAAAUUAUCAAAUACUAGAUGUAAAAAAAGAUUAUCCAACAACCCCAUUUGAUACUUAGUCAAAUAAAGUGCCACGACAAAAUGUUGACCACAAUCCAACUACUACUUGUUCAAGAUUGAAAAUGUGAAUUGAUAAAAAUAAAAAUAAAAAGGUUGAAAAUAUGAAAUUAAUUACGCGUUAUAUUUUCCUUCAAUAAUUCCUAACUACUAUAUAUAUAAAUCAAACUUUCAACCUUACCAUAAGAUACAACAACAAAACAAAGAACACACUAACAUUUUCUACUAUAAUCAAAUUGCUUCUACGUUAUUAAUUGUUUCUGAAAGAACUAGUUAUAGCAACAAAAUCAAGUUUCAUUAUAUAAAAGUUUAUUUCUGAUGGCUCCUGCUACGGGUAGUAUGAUCCAAAUAUCAAUACUUCAAACACCAAAUUAUGAAUCAUCUCCAAAAAAUGUGAACAGAAUAUGUGCAUAUAGAGGAAAACAACCGAUAGACAGAGUUAAAGCAGGAGGAGGAAGUGGUGCACAAAAAAACAGCUUACUUCAAAGCACAACUACAUCAUCAAGAAAUCUUCAACUUGACAACAUUUAUGCUACCAACAGCUUCAGUCUCAAUAGUGAUCAAAAUGAUCAAAACACAAGUCCUAGAAGUAUUGGCAACAUGGAUUAUGAUUAUGAAAUAUGAAUUUUAUUCUCUUCUUAAUAUAAAUUUUGAUAAGAAUUCACCAUGAUUUCACACCAACUGUAAUUAUAUGUGUAACAUAGAGGUUUUGAGUAUUAAAUAAUUUUCUUCUUGAUGGAAUGAAAAAAUUAUAAUUACCUUGAAGUUCAUCUUAUAUAUUGUCAAUGUCUUAUGUUGUAAUUGCCUUGAAAUCUCAGAGAUCAGAAAAUUACAUAAGUAGUGUAGGUGUUGCACUGGGCGCGACACGUAAUUGCAGUGGCGUGUGACCAGUUCGUCACUACCUUGGGCGCGACACCCAUUAGCAGUAGUGUAUUUGGCUUGAACCAAUUCUGCUUGUUGCGCAAGGCGCAGGCAAGCUAGCGCGGCACGCGAGCUCGCAGUGCCUUUGACAGGUAGUCCGUUUUCAAAGUUUAGUAACGGGGUUUUAGGGUUUUUGAGGCCAACAUACAAGUCAGGGUUAUAAGAUAAUUUUUUGGGCAAACACUAGGGUUGGGUAUUGAUUCAUCACCUUGGGAAACAAUUGAAUCUCUUGGUCACGGGAAGAGAUUCGGGAAAAGUACUUUAUUUGAAAGUGGAACGAAGAGUUGCUCUUUUGCGAAGAGUAGGUCAUUUUAGACCGAACUGGAUAAACAAUUUUCCGUGUUCUUUAUCACUUUCACCAUUUUAUCUUUUGUUUGCGAUUAAUUGUCGUUCUCGCUUAUUGGUUGCUUAAUUUAAUUUGCUCAACGCAUCAAUUUUUUUUGGUGUGUUUCUCGUCGAAUUCACAACACCCUAUUUUAUUUCAAUUAUUUGUAUUUCUAUUUUCAUUUUUGAAAUAAAUAAUUAAUGACUUAGGGUCUGUUUGGUUCGAGGUAGAUGCAUGGGAGGGGAGGUGAGGGGUAAUACUUUUCUUCUUGAUGGAAUGAAAAAAUUAUAAUUAGCGCUUUGUAGUUCAUCUUAUAUAUUUUCA
This 8578-nucleotide long non-coding RNA is filed under the name Trifolium pratense (red clover). RNAcentral describes it as "long non-coding RNA (TPRA_LNC003568)". Lineage: Eukaryota; Viridiplantae; Streptophyta; Magnoliopsida; Fabales; Fabaceae. The record is from RNAcentral.